GGGGCCUGCACAAGCGGUGGAGCAUGUGGUUAAUUCGAAGCAACGCGCAGAACCUUACCAGCGUUUGACAUCCUGAUCGCAGUUACCAGAGAUGGUUUCCUUCAGUUCGGCUGGAUCAGUGACAGGUGCUGCAUGGCUGUCGUCAGCUCGUGUCGUGAGAUGUUGGGUUAAGUCCCGCAACGAGCGCAACCCUCAUCCCUAGUUGCCAUCAUUCAGUUGGGCACUCUAAGGAAACUGCCGGUGAUAAGCCGGAGGAAGGUGGGGAUGACGUCAAGUCCUCAUGGCCCUUACGCGCUGGGCUACACACGUGCUACAAUGGCGGUGACAGUGGGCAGCAACUCCGCGAGGAGUAGCUAAUCUCCAAAAACCGUCUCAGUUCGGAUUGUUCUCUGCAACUCGAGAGCAUGAAGGCGGAAUCGCUAGUAAUCGCGGAUCAGCAUGCCGCGGUGAAUACGUUCCCAGGCCUUGUACACACCGCCCGUCACACCAUGGGAGUUGGUUUCACCCGAAGGCAGUGCUCUAACCCGCAAGGGAGGAAGCUGACCACGGUGGGAUCAGCGACUGGGGUGAAGUCGUAACAAGGUAGCCGUA
This 591-nucleotide ribosomal RNA is filed under the name uncultured bacterium. Its description in RNAcentral is "bacterial SSU rRNA". It matches the Rfam family "Bacterial small subunit ribosomal RNA", at positions 916 to 1504 of the family's 1533-position model. The record is from RNAcentral.